Molecule: small RNA, 508 nt
Filed under: Botrytis elliptica
Lineage: Eukaryota; Fungi; Ascomycota; Leotiomycetes; Helotiales; Sclerotiniaceae
Description: eukaryotic LSU rRNA
Rfam family: 5.8S ribosomal RNA (bases 144-297)
Source: RNAcentral
GGACUAGUUGGCAGAAGGUGACCUCCCACCCUUGUGUAUUAUUACUUUGUUGCUUUGGCGAGCUGCCUUCGGGCCUUGUAUGCUCGCCAGAGAAAACCAAAACUCUUUUUAUUAAUGUCGUCUGAGUACUAUAUAAUAGUUAAAACUUUCAACAACGGAUCUCUUGGUUCUGGCAUCGAUGAAGAACGCAGCGAAAUGCGAUAAGUAAUGUGAAUUGCAGAAUUCAGUGAAUCAUCGAAUCUUUGAACGCACAUUGCGCCCCUUGGUAUUCCGGGGGGCAUGCCUGUUCGAGCGUCAUUUCAACCCUCAAGCUUAGCUUGGUAUUGAGUCUAUGUCAGUAAUGGCAGGCUCUAAAAUCAGUGGCGGCGCCGCUGGGUCCUGAACGUAGUAAUAUCUCUCGUUACAGGUUCUCGGUGUGCUUCUGCCAAAACCCAAAUUUUUCUAUGGUUGACCUCGGAUCAGGUAGGGAUACCCGCUGAACUUAAGCAUAUCAAUAAGCGGAGGAAGA